RNAcentral lists this ribosomal RNA (404 nucleotides) under uncultured bacterium. Its description in RNAcentral is "bacterial SSU rRNA". It matches the Rfam family "Bacterial small subunit ribosomal RNA", at positions 355 to 774 of the family's 1533-position model. The record is from RNAcentral.
UGGGGAAUAUUGCGCAAUGGGCGAAAGCCUGACGCAGCAACGCCGCGUGCGGGAUGAAGGCCUUCGGGUUGUAAACCGCUUUCAGUGGGGACGAAAACAGACGGUACCCACAGAAGAAGCCCCGGCCAACUACGUGCCAGCAGCCGCGGUAACACGUAGGGGGCGAGCGUUGUCCGGAUUUAUUGGGCGUAAAGAGCUCGUAGGCGGCUCGGUAAGUGAGGUGUGAAAACUCCAGGCUCAACCUGGAGACGCCACCUCAUACUGCCGUGGCUAGAGUCCGGUAGGGGAGCAUGGAAUUCCUGGUGUAGCGGUGAAAUGCGCAGAUAUCAGGAGGAACACCAGUGGCGAAGGCGGUGCUCUGGGCCGGAACUGACGCUGAGGAGCGAAAGCGUGGGGAGCAAACA